This 372-nucleotide unclassified non-coding RNA is filed under the name uncultured Gammaproteobacteria bacterium. RNAcentral describes it as "contains 16S-23S intergenic spacer region". Lineage: Bacteria; Pseudomonadati; Pseudomonadota; Gammaproteobacteria. The record is from RNAcentral.
UCCGGUUUUUUGACCGGCAGUCUCACUAAAGUUCUCAACUAAAUGGUAGCAACUAGUGAUAAGGGUUGCGCUCGUUGCGUCACUUAAGACAACAUCUCACGACACGAGCUGACGACAGCCAUGCAGCACCUGUGUCUAGGUUCCCGAAGGCACGGAAAUAUCUCUAUUUCCUUCCUAGCAUGUCAAGAGCAGGUAAGGUUUUUCGCGUUGCAUCGAAUUAAUCCACAUCAUCCACCGCUUGUGCGGGUCCCCGUCAAUUCCUUUGAGUUUUAAUCUUGCGACCGUACUCCCCAGGCGGUCUACUUCACGCGUUAGCUUCGCUACUGAGAUCGCUCCCAACAGCAAGUAGACAUCGUUUAGGGCGUGGACUAC